CCUACGGGGGGCAGCAGUGGGGAAUAUUGGACAAUGGGGGGAACCCUGAUCCAGCGACGCCGCGUGAGUGAAGAAGUAUUUCGGUAUGUAAAGCUCUAUCAGCAGGGAAGAACGGACUGACGGUACCUGCCUACGAAGCCCCGGCUAACUACGUGCCAGCAGCCGCGGUAAUACGUAGGGGGCAAGCGUUAUCCGGAUUUACUGGGUGUAAAGGGAGCGUAGACGGUUACGCAAGUCUGGAGUGAAAGGCGGUGGCCCAACCCCCGGACUGCUUUGGAAACUGUAUAACUGGAGUGCAGGAGAGGUAAGUGGAAUUCCUAGUGUAGCGGUGAAAUGCGUAGAUAUUAGGAGGAACACCAGUGGCGAAGGCGGCGUACUGGACUGUAACUGACGUUGAGGCUCGAAAGCGUGGGGAGCAAACAGGAUUAGAUACCCCAGUAGUC
This 443-nucleotide ribosomal RNA is filed under the name uncultured bacterium. RNAcentral describes it as "partial 16S ribosomal RNA". It matches the Rfam family "Bacterial small subunit ribosomal RNA", at positions 338 to 795 of the family's 1533-position model. The record is from RNAcentral.